This 303-nucleotide ribosomal RNA is filed under the name uncultured bacterium. RNAcentral's name for it is "partial 16S ribosomal RNA". It matches the Rfam family "Bacterial small subunit ribosomal RNA", at positions 507 to 809 of the family's 1533-position model. The record is from RNAcentral.
AGCAGCCGCCGCGGGAAUACGGAGGGUGCAAGCGUUAAUCGGAAUUACUGGGCGUAAAGCGCACGCAGGCGGUCUGUCAAGUCAGAUGUGAAAUCCCCGGGCUUAACCUGGGAACUGCAUUUGAAACUGGCAGGCUAGAGUCUUGUAGAGGGGGGUAGAAUUCCAGGUGUAGCGGUGAAAUGCGUAGAGAUCUGGAGGAAUACCGGUGGCGAAGGCGGCCCCCUGGACAAAGACUGACGCUCAGGUGCGAAAGCGUGGGGAGCAAACAGGAUUAGAUACCCGAGUAGUCCCUGUCUCUUAUAA